UACGUAGGGCGCAAGCGUUGUCCGGAAUUAUUGGGCGUAAAGAGCUCGUAGGCGGUUUGUCGCGUCUGCUGUGAAAACCUAAGGCUCAACCUUGGGCUUGCAGUGGGGUACGGGCAGACUAGAGUGUGGUAGGGGAGAUUGGAAUUCCUGGUGUAGCGGUGGAAUGCGCAGAUAUCAGGAGGAACACCGAUGGCGAAAGGCCAGAUCUCUGGGCCAUUACUGACGCUGAGGAGCGAAAGCAUGGGGAGCGAAACGGG
This 257-nucleotide ribosomal RNA is filed under the name uncultured bacterium. RNAcentral describes it as "partial 16S ribosomal RNA". It matches the Rfam family "Bacterial small subunit ribosomal RNA", at positions 524 to 777 of the family's 1533-position model. The record is from RNAcentral.